CCUACGGGUGGCUGCAGUGAGGAAUAUUGGUCAAUGGGCGCGAGCCUGAACCAGCCAAGUAGCGUGAAGGAUGACUGCCCUACGGGUUGUAAACUUCUUUUAUAAAGGAAUAAAGUGAGGCACGUGUGCCUUUUUGUAUGUACUUUAUGAAUAAGGAUCGGCUAACUCCGUGCCAGCAGCCGCGGUAAUACGUAGGGUGCGAGCGUUAUCCGGAUUUACUGGGUGUAAAGGGAGCGCAGACGGCGAUGUAAGCCAGGUGUGAAAGCCCGGGGCCCAACCCCGGGACUGCACUUGGAACUGGGAGGCUUGAGUGCAGGAGAGGUAGGCGGAAUUCCUGGUGUAGCGGUGAAAUGCGUAGAUAUCAGGAAGAACACCGGUGGCGAAGGCGGCCUGCUGGACUGCAACUGACGUUGAGGCCCGAAAGCGUGGGGAGCAAACAGGAUUAGAUACCCUAGUAGUC
Molecule: ribosomal RNA, 460 nt
Filed under: uncultured bacterium
Lineage: Bacteria
Description: partial 16S ribosomal RNA
Rfam family: Bacterial small subunit ribosomal RNA
Source: RNAcentral